CCAGGGGUCUUCCACUUUUGACCAGUUGUUAUUUCUGACGGAUGGACGCGCCGAUUGUGGCCUGAAACUAUUGAACACGAAAAGCGUUCGAAACCGCUUGCAAUAUCGGAUGUCCGCCGACCACUGCCUAGAUACGGGCUGACGGGAUGAGCCUUAUUAUAAAUGGACAGCAUGAAUGUUGUUCGUUGUAGGAAACAAAAUUAACGCCAACGAUGCAAACCUAGCGAAAAUGGGGUACUGAUACACGCGAAGUUUAAUCUGGGUCAAUCGAGUCAUGGAAAACACCGCUAAAGUACGACCAUUUUGACUUGAAGGCGUGUUCGAGGCUUCAGUGGUUGACUCUAAAAGCUGGAUGGACUUUUCGAUACCGCAGGUUAAGGAACCAAGGUUUAGUUAGUAACUUGAAUUACUGACUUAAGUCAAUGGUGAUACAGAUAUAUACAGGCUCGAAUAUAUUUAAGAAUUAGUGGUAUUUUUUAUUCCCUCGCACAGUGAUUUAAGGACUUUGCUUACAAUUUGUUCUGGCCGAUUGUGUUUCACUUAUUAUCCAUGAUGAUAACUAAUAAUAUAUCUUUAUAAUCGUAAAUACUUUGUCCUUCGAAUGCGUAAGUAACUACGAGCGCAAGUUGCAUUUUUGAUGCGAGUACAUUACUUACUACCAUGCGAACUUGAGCAUGAUAUCGGCGCCCCAAAGGGACAGCUUCCUAUUUGUUUAGGGUGCCGUCAUAAGAAAAAUUGUAGGAUAGGUGGGCGGCAGCUGUUGUACUUGAUGCGGCCUCAAGUUCCGUGCAAUUUCGAUUGAAAACAGCGACUGCAAAUGUAAGCACUGUCCACUCCAAUCCGCAGAAUAAAUAGUUUUGUAUUUUAUAAAGCAAAAAAAAAAAAUAGAAAUGAUAAAACAGUUGUCUUGCCGACGUAGUUAUUUUAUUUUAUAAGAUCAGUACCCCACAUUAUUUUGAUCUGGUGCGCAGAAAGGCAGAACGAAAAUCGUAUCUUCAUAUUUUGGGAUCGCUCUCUUACAUCAGCAGUGUUUUAUAUAUACAUUAGAAAAGAUUUCGUUCGAUGUUUAUACAGACUUAUUAUUUAUCGUCCGUUAUACCAUCCAUGAACGCUACUGGUGCAAUACGGUCGAAAAUUGUUUCAACCUAUAAACAUCUGUUCAACCUACCUACAGCUCUCGCUGCUUGUCCUAGUGGCUUACCUUUACCUGUUGACACGAACAUUCGUUCGAAGGAUUACUCACAAUUUCACUGAUAUUUUUCAAUGAACGAUAUCGACAUAGUGCAGAAUAAAAAUUCCACAUAUAUGAAGCGUGCAUACUUUUUUUUAUUUACGGAAAUUGCAUGAACAAUGGCAAGUGAUACAUAAGUAAGAUCGACAGUCUGAUUGUCCUGUGGAAAUGUAUCGCCCAGGGCGCACUGUAGUGACGUCUAUAGGCCGCACUUAAUUCGAGAGGGAAGAGAGGACUUCAACUAAAGAUGGCACGAAAGUUUGAUAGGUCGGCUUCGAAACGGGCUUGAUUUUUGGCAGAGCGUUGCAUUUAUUACUUCCUGGGCGCCAGGCUGC
This is a long non-coding RNA of Varroa destructor (honeybee mite), 1566 nucleotides long. The record is from RefSeq and is a predicted model, not a curated record. NCBI's taxonomy places the organism in Eukaryota, Metazoa, Arthropoda, Arachnida, Mesostigmata, Varroidae.